GUUCUCAUGAUAGUGAAUGGGUCUCACAAGAUCUGAUGGAUUUAAAGACGGGAGUUUCUCUGCACAAGCUCUCUCUUUUUGCCUGCUGCCGUCCACAUAAGAUGUGACUUGCUCCUCCUUGACUUUUGCCUUCCACCAUGAUUGUGAGGCCUCCCCAGCCACAUGGAACUGUUGGAGUGCAGUGGCACAAUCUCGGCUCACUGCAGUCUCUGCCUCCCGAGUAGGGAAUCAAGGGAUUCUCCUGCCUCAGCCUCCAGAGUGGCUGUGAUUACAGGAACCUGCCACCACGCCCAGCUAAUUUUUGUAUUUUUAGUAGAGAUGGGGUUUUGCCAUAUUUGCCAGGCUGGUCUCGACCUCCUAACCUUAGCCUCAGCCUCCCAAAGUGCUGGGAUUACAGGCAUGAGCCACCACGCCUGGCCAAAAUUAAAAUUUUUGUGCUUCGAAGGACACCAUCAAAAAUGUGAAAAGACAACCAACAUGUGUAUUCCGUUGAAAAUACCAUGGAACAUUAAGGAAAUGGUGGAGGAUGGGGUGAGGAGGCUGAGAAAAUUCAGUUACAUAACUGAAGUGCUGAAGAAUGAGGACCAAAGGGUGGAAACUGUGUGGAGGAGGAAGGAAAAUUGAAGCAUUUUCUCAGAAGAUCUGCCCCCUUACCCCACUACUCCCCCAGGACCAUCACAAUGAAGAUGGUAUCAUUACUUGCUCGUCAGAGCCAACAUUUGGACACUAUUAUUUACAAGAAGACUCUAACAAAAUUAUGCAAGAGCAAAAACUUAAGCCAGAGGACAAUGGAAAGAUUAAAAAAUGAUUUCAUAGCACGAGUAAAUGUCUAUCUAUCUGGGUCCUGCCAAACACAGAAUAGAGGGGAGAUCCUGGAGGAAUGACAGAGGAAACAAAGGCAUUUGGCUGCUAAUCUGCAACCCAAUCAUUCGUAAUCUACCAAACAAUCAUUGUCUACUUACGAUAAAUUAGAAUUGGGACAGUGUGCGAUGGAUGCUCCUCGUUCAUGGAAUACGUUCAGUUCUUCUGCAGAGAGGUAGCAGCCGUGUGCCAUCACUGUCUGGAGAGAAGAGUGCCCUACGUGGAGUUUACCGCUCACAAAUGAUUAAGUGGGUACUCACUCACAAGGUAUUUUAGAGAGAGACCGAAGCUGUAGCUUGGCUGUUAGCAUCUUCACAAGAACAUUUAUGAUGAUCUAUAUGUACAAAGUUGCUAGGUACAAGUUAUACCUUAGAAAAGGCCUGUAAACACAUUGUCUUACGAAAGUCUCAGGAAAUUUGUGGAGUUUACUUAGAUUCUUUUUGUUGAUCUAUAAAGUAAUGAGGGUUUGGUCCAGGUGAUCUACAGCACAGAAUAUCCAUCCAGAUGGAAGAUAACAUGAUUUUCUCAUCUCUACUUUAGAAGACUGUCAAGUUACUUUCUUUUCUAAGUUUAUAUGGGAAGCAACUGGUAGUGUUGUGCUUGCUCCAAUUCUAAAAAAACUUUCUAGAACUAAAAGUCCCUUCUCAGUAUGUGAAAGCUGUGAGAGUAAUCCUGCAAAGCGCUGUUCUUUAUUUCUGCUCCUAGCUUCAAUGUAAGUGCCAAUGGCCUUGAUAUUUUCAACUAAAUAAACUUUUAACUCACCUACGUUUAUAUUUUCAUAAAAACUAGGAAAUUUAACAUCUUAUAAUCAUUAAUUCAGAAAGUAAAAUUGAUCCAAGAAAGCAGGCACUGCACACACAUGAGACCUCUCUAAAUUUUUAAUGUUGGUAGUAUUUAUUUGUAGAUUUUCUUAAAUAAGACUUUACUCUUUCAAAAUUAUUUUUCUCUCAGUACAAAACCUGUACCCAACUUGCUUUCCCCUUUGAGAGGCACGGUUCAGUGACUACAGAAUUAUUAUUUUUCUGAGACAGAGUCUCACUCUGUCGCCCAGGCUGGAGUGCAGUGGCGCAAUCUCGACUCUCUGCAAGCUCCGCCUCCUGGGUUCACGCCAUUCUCCUAUCUCAGCUUCCCGAGUAGCUGGGACUACAGGCGCCUGCCACCACGCCUGGCUAAUUUUUUUGUAUUUUUAGUAGAGACGGGGUUUCACCGUGUUAGCCAGGAUGGUCUCGAUCUCCUGACCUCGUGAUCUGCCUGCCUCUGCCUCCCAAAGUGCUGGGAUUACAGACAUGAGCCACCAGGCCCGGCCCAGUGACUACAGAAUUAUUAUUAAAAUAUAACUUUCCCAAUCUCUGUUCAAAUAAAAUUAACAUGCAAAUGGAAGGUUAAUUUAUUAAUCAUAUGGAAAAUAUAUAAAGAAUGAAAACUAUGGUGUAGCUUUUACAUGAUUUAUGCAAAGUAUUAACCUUUUAAAUCAGUUAUAUUCAUAUCUCCAUUCACACAGUCACUAAGAAAUUAUUUGCUAUGGUAAACUCUCCAUGCGGUUUGUACAU
Molecule: long non-coding RNA, 2411 nt
Filed under: Homo sapiens (human)
Lineage: Eukaryota; Metazoa; Chordata; Mammalia; Primates; Hominidae
Description: LHRI_LNC1523.9
Source: RNAcentral